UGCCAGCAGCCGCGGUAAUACGAAGGGGGCUAGCGUUGUUCGGAAUUACUGGGCGUAAAGCGUGCGUAGGCGGAUCGACAAGUUGGGGGUGAAAUCCCGGGGCUUAACCCCGGAACUGCCCUCAAAACUGUCGAUCUAGAGUCUCGGAGAGGUUGGCGGAAUUCCAGGUGUAGGAGUGAAAUCCGUAGAUAUCUGGAGGAACACCAGUGGCGAAGGCGGCCAACUGGACGAGUACUGACACUGAGGUACGAAAGCGUGGGUAGCAAACAGGAUUAGAUA
RNAcentral lists this ribosomal RNA (279 nucleotides) under uncultured bacterium. Its description in RNAcentral is "partial 16S ribosomal RNA". It matches the Rfam family "Bacterial small subunit ribosomal RNA", at positions 506 to 784 of the family's 1533-position model. The record is from RNAcentral.